GCAGGUCACUCAAAGUUUGCUGGCCAGUAGAGGGCGGCACUGCCGCACUUGCCAGAGCAGCACAGAAAUAAAGGCAACCACCACUCAAGUCAAGAACAUUUCACACUAACAUAAAAAGUCCUUAUCAAGAGCAUAAACUAUCAUUGCACACACCACACAAAAAAUUGAAAAAUCUUAUAUGCCUCUCCUUUACCCCUUUCAAUCCACAUAUCAAUCUCUCCUCCCUUACACUCUCUCCCAAUAUUUCUCCCCCUUUGGCAUUAAUCUCCAAAA
RNAcentral lists this long non-coding RNA (273 nucleotides) under Sorghum bicolor (sorghum). Its description in RNAcentral is "long non-coding RNA (SBIC_LNC018432)". The record is from RNAcentral. Lineage: Eukaryota; Viridiplantae; Streptophyta; Magnoliopsida; Poales; Poaceae.